GAUGAACGCUGGCGGCGUGCCUAAUACAUGCAAGUCGAGCGAACAGACGAGGAGCUUGCUCCUCUGACGUUAGCGGCGGACGGGUGAGUAACACGUGGAUAACCUACCUAUAAGACUGGGAUAACUUCGGGAAACCGGAGCUAAUACCGGAUAAUAUAUUGAACCGCAUGGUUCAAUAGUGAAAGACGGUUUUGCUGUCACUUAUAGAUGGAUCCGCGCCGAAUUAGCUAGUUGGUAAGGUAACGGCUUACCAAGGCGACGAUGCGUAGCCGACCUGAGAGGGUGGUAGGCCACACUGGAACUUAGACACGGUCCAGACUCCUGAGGGACGCCGCAGUAGGGAACCUUACGCAAUGGGCGGAAGCAUGACGGAGCAACGCCGCGUGAGUGAUGAAGGUCUUCGGAUCGUAAAACUCUGUUAUUAGGGAAGAACAAAUGUGUAAGUAACUAUGCACGUCUUGACGGUACCUAAUCAGAAAGCCCCGGCUAACUACGUG
RNAcentral lists this ribosomal RNA (497 nucleotides) under uncultured bacterium. Its description in RNAcentral is "partial 16S ribosomal RNA". It matches the Rfam family "Bacterial small subunit ribosomal RNA", at positions 28 to 507 of the family's 1533-position model. The record is from RNAcentral.